UGUAAGCGUAUACCAAAGUUGUUGCAGUUAAAACGCUCGUAGUCGGACUUUGGCAGUUCCGGAUGUGUGCACGUCGUGUGCGCACUUCGCGGGGAUUGCUUUUGUGGUCUUGCGUAGGAUGAGGCACUUUUAUUAGUGAACGUCCUCACGCAACCACUUUUUACUGUGAGAAAAUCAGAGUGCUCAAAGCAGGCAUUUGCCGUGAAUGUAUUAGCAUGGAAUAAUAGAAUAGGACUUGGUUCUAUUUUGUUGGUUUGUUGGGACUGAGUAAUGAUUAAGAGGGACAGUUGGGGGCAUUUGUAUUUCGGUGCUAGAGGUGAAAUUCUUAGAUUACCGAAAGACAAACUGCUGCGAAAGCGUCUGCCAAGGAUGUUUUCAUUGG
Molecule: ribosomal RNA, 382 nt
Filed under: uncultured eukaryote
Lineage: Eukaryota
Description: partial 18S ribosomal RNA
Rfam family: Eukaryotic small subunit ribosomal RNA
Source: RNAcentral